RNAcentral lists this small RNA (68 nucleotides) under Flavobacterium xinjiangense. RNAcentral's name for it is "Flavo-1 RNA". It matches the Rfam family "Flavo-1 RNA". Lineage: Bacteria; Pseudomonadati; Bacteroidota; Flavobacteriia; Flavobacteriales; Flavobacteriaceae. The record is from RNAcentral.
UCCUAGCCCUGAUGGUAGCGGCAUCCUCGUAACGCAGUGGAGAGAUACAGCGGACAGCAGGAGAUUUC